UAUUACAGUUCUACCUGCUGCCAUCUCAACUCAGCUCUCUCCUACAACUGCUACACAUUCAGCAUCGUCAGGUGCUGGGUUAUCUGCAACCGCAGCCACAGCAGAGCCUGUGGCCCUGCCAUCCACACCUGUGCCCCUGGCAGGAGCCUGGAUGGAGGUGAGGCUGCUGAACGGCACAGGGAGGUGCUCAGGCCGCGUGGAAGUUCUCGUCCAG
Long non-coding RNA from Rhinopithecus roxellana (golden snub-nosed monkey), 214 nucleotides. RefSeq lists it as uncharacterized. The transcript has 3 exons. The record is from RefSeq and is a predicted model, not a curated record. NCBI's taxonomy places the organism in Eukaryota, Metazoa, Chordata, Mammalia, Primates, Cercopithecidae.